RNAcentral lists this ribosomal RNA (253 nucleotides) under uncultured bacterium. RNAcentral describes it as "partial 16S ribosomal RNA". It matches the Rfam family "Bacterial small subunit ribosomal RNA", at positions 524 to 776 of the family's 1533-position model. The record is from RNAcentral.
GACAGAGGGGGCAAGCGUUGCUCGGAAUUAUUGGGCGUAAAGAGCUCGUAGGCGGUUUGUCGCGUCUGCUGUGAAAACCCGAGGCUCAACCUCGGGCCUGCAGUGGGUACGGGCAGACUAGAGUGCGGUAGGGGAGAUUGGAAUUCCUGGUGUAGCGGUGGAAUGCGCAGAUAUCAGGAGGAACACCGAUGGCGAAGGCAGAUCUCUGGGCCGUAACUGACGCUGAGGAGCGAAAGCGUGGGGAGCGAACAGG